Molecule: long non-coding RNA, 567 nt
Filed under: Anser cygnoides (Swan goose)
Lineage: Eukaryota; Metazoa; Chordata; Aves; Anseriformes; Anatidae
Description: lncRNA (ENSACDG00005008208.1)
Source: RNAcentral
UACAUUGUUCAGAAUGUCAGAAGAGGUGACAAAAAAUGCACGUGUAAUCACUCACUAGUGUAAAAAGACAGCAUAAUUCAGUGUUUCAGUUUAAAAACAAAACAGGUCUAGAACUGUCUGCUCAAACAAUUCUUAGAAGAAAAAGUUGGUUUGCCCCAAAAUAAAAUUGUAUGUGGAACAACGUCUGAUUUUAUUAUCAAUAGAAUUCAAAACAAAGAACUGAACUUCAAAUUAUUGUAACUAAAUCAUUAUUGUUUUAAUUAUGCAGAUGCAUUCAUUUUGAUUGUAUUUAAUAAAGCAUUAAACUGGAUUUCCCUAUCUCUUUUUACAGGUGUUGCAGCUUUGCCCUUCACCUAUUCUUUCCACUACACAGGGCUACCUGGAAAACCACUUCAAACACAAACAUUUUGUCUUCCAUCUGGCUCAGCUGCACAGAGCCUCACAAGAGUAACAGGACUGUUGCUAUCACUACUUUUGCAUAAAAAAAGUAUCUUGAAAGUAUGUCACUGUGAGCCAUAUUCCAAAUGCUGGAAGAAUGGUAAUGGCACUAGUGAAAUCCAGAACUGA